UAAGGAAUAUUGGUCAAUGGACGGAAGUCUGAACCAGCCAUGCCGCGUGCAGGAAGACGGCCCUACGGGUUGUAAACUGCUUUUGUACCGGAAUAAACCCCGAUUCGUGAAUCGGGUUGAAUGUACGGUAAGAAUAAGGAUCGGCUAACUCCGUGCCAGCAGCCGCGGUAAUACGGAGGAUCCAAGCGUUAUCCGGAUUUAUUGGGUUUAAAGGGUGCGUAGGCGGCUUUUUAAGUCAGGGGUGAAAGACGGUAGCUCAACUAUCGCAGUGCCCUUGAUACUGAAGAGCUUGAAUGUACUUGAGGUAGGCGGAAUGUGACAAGUAGCGGUGAAAUGCAUAGAUAUGUCACAGAACACCAAUUGCGAAGGCAGCUUACUAAAGUAUGAUUGACGCUGAGGCACGAAAGCGUGGGGAUCAAACA
RNAcentral lists this ribosomal RNA (422 nucleotides) under uncultured Mucilaginibacter sp. RNAcentral's name for it is "bacterial SSU rRNA". It matches the Rfam family "Bacterial small subunit ribosomal RNA", at positions 355 to 774 of the family's 1533-position model. Lineage: Bacteria; Pseudomonadati; Bacteroidota; Sphingobacteriia; Sphingobacteriales; Sphingobacteriaceae. The record is from RNAcentral.